GAUAUUUGGAGCUGAGAGCUUUGGGGGAGAAGUCAAUUUGGAGGAGGUCACAAGGGUGGGGCCACCAUGAUGAAUCAGUGCCCUCAUAAGAAGAGACACACCAGUCUGCUCACUCUCUCAUUCUCCCCUGCUCUCUCUCACUUCACUACGUGGCAGCCAGUGACAAGCUAAGUAAGAAGGGAGCCCUCACCAGAAAGAGACCAUGCUGGCACCUUGAUCUUGGACGUCCAGCCUCCAGAAAUGUGAGAAAAUGUGCGUAAGCCACUCAGCGGUGCUGUCCUAGGGCAGCCCACGUGGAUCACAGCACCUACUUUCUCAAUAAUACAGCCCCAUGCUACUGCUCAAGCUCCUCUGCUGUCUUCAAUAUAAAAGAUCCUGCUCCUAAGACAUCUGAAUUUCAUUGUUUAAACAAAAGAUUAAGAGAAGACAGGAAAAUCAGUUUUAUGGCACUAUAAUCUGGAAAUAGAACAAACCAUUCAUACGGAAGAUAAAAAGAGAACCCAGAAAAUAUAAAUGAGUUUCCAAAUUCAUACACCCAAUAAGUGGUAGAGUCAGAAUUCACACCAAUCAAUUCCAUCUGUCUCGAAAGCCAACGCGAGUGGUGGUGUAUUCAUACCACCAUAGUGGUAAUAAGCAAGCUGCUCCCCAAAGCCAACGUACCUUUCCACCAAGGUCGCAUCACUGCUAUUUUAACACCUUUGUUUUCCAGAUGAGUAAACUGAGCCCCAAGGAGUGAAAUAACUUCUCCAAGGUUACUCAGUGGGUUGCUGGCAGAGAGGUACACAAACCAAGUCCAGGGUCAUUUAAUCCAUUCAUUCCCAUAAAAUUUUGAACACAUUAAAGUGCACAAAAUGCAUAAGCUGAACAUCCACAAAUAUCUUUCCAUAAAACUGUAAAAUACAAGUUUAUAUUUAUUAAAUUUGUCUUGUGAAGAUCCUAAGUAGUCACGUUCUGAUACAUGUAAAGGGGAAGUUAGGGGCACCUGGCUGGCUUGGUCAGGGGAACACAUAACUCUUGGGAGUAGAGAUCAAUUAAGUAAAACUGCAAAAAGGUGCAGGGAGUGGAGAGAUUAAAAGUUUAUCCUAAUUUUUUUUUAAGAAUACUAUUUUUUUUAAGUGCUCCAGCUUGUUGGUUGGGGUUAGAGUGUGGGACAUUUUUCCUGUUACAUGGGUUUGUAUAUAAAUAGAACUUAAUGUUAAAUCCAGUAUCAUAAUUUGACUUUUAAAACUGUCCUACCUUCUGCUUUAUGAAAACAAAAAAAUAUAUAAUUGACCAAGAUGUAGAGGACCCAAUAAUCUAAUAGGUCACCCAUAGCUCCAAAACCGUAAGAAACACAAACUCAGUACAGAAAGUAAAGUUACCAGUAUUGCAGAAAGACAAUGAGGAAGACCAUUCCUUUUAAUCCUCCCAUCUUUAUUCAUCUAGCUUCUGUCUGAAAAGCAAUUAUUUGUCACAAAAGGGGAAAAAAAGCAUGUAUUUUUCUGGCAUAACUCUAUAAUAACCUAAAAAGUACUCCCCAAAACUCACUAUUUUUGAUUCUACUAUUUUACAGAGAUUCCUGAU
RNAcentral lists this long non-coding RNA (1563 nucleotides) under Canis lupus familiaris (dog). RNAcentral's name for it is "lncRNA (ENSCAFG00845002611.1)". Lineage: Eukaryota; Metazoa; Chordata; Mammalia; Carnivora; Canidae. The record is from RNAcentral.